Molecule: ribosomal RNA, 1435 nt
Filed under: uncultured bacterium
Lineage: Bacteria
Description: 16S ribosomal RNA
Rfam family: Bacterial small subunit ribosomal RNA
Source: RNAcentral
AACGCUAGCUACAGGCUUAACACAUGCAAGUCGAGGGGCAGCAUGGUCUUAGCUUGCUAAGGCCGAUGGCGACCGGCGCACGGGUGAGUAACACGUAUCCAACCUGCCGUCUACUCUUGGACAGCCUUCUGAAAGGAAGAUUAAUACAAGAUGGCAUCAUGAGUCCACAUGUUCACAUGAUUAAAGGUAUUCCGGUAGACGAUGGGGAUGCGUUCCAUUAGAUAGUAGGCGGGGUAACGGCCCACCUAGUCUUCGAUGGAUAGGGGUUCUGAGAGGAAGGUCCCCCACAUUGGAACUGAGACACGGUCCAAACUCCUACGGGAGGCAGCAGUGAGGAAUAUUGGUCAAUGGGCGAGAGCCUGAACCAGCCAAGUAGCGUGAAGGAUGACUGCCCUAUGGGUUGUAAACUUCUUUUAUAAAGGAAUAAAGUCGGGUAUGGAUACCCGUUUGCAUGUACUUUAUGAAUAAGGAUCGGCUAACUCCGUGCCAGCAGCCGCGGUAAUACGGAGGAUCCGAGCGUUAUCCGGAUUUAUUGGGUUUAAAGGGAGCGUAGAUGGAUGUUUAAGUCAGUUGUGAAAGUUUGCGGCUCAACCGUAAAAUUGCAGUUGAUACUGGAUAUCUUGAGUGCAGUUGAGGCAGGCGGAAUUCGUGGUGUAGCGGUGAAAUGCUUAGAUAUCACGAAGAACUCCGAUUGCGAAGGCAGCCUGCUAAGCUGCAACUGACAUUGAGGCUCGAAAGUGUGGGUAUCAAACAGGAUUAGAUACCCUGGUAGUCCACACGGUAAACGAUGAAUACUCGCUGUUUGCGAUAUACAGCAAGCGGCCAAGCGAAAGCGUUAAGUAUUCCACCUGGGGAGUACGCCGGCAACGGUGAAACUCAAAGGAAUUGACGGGGGCCCGCACAAGCGGAGGAACAUGUGGUUUAAUUCGAUGAUACGCGAGGAACCUUACCCGGGCUUAAAUUGCAGAUGAAUUACGGUGAAAGCCGUAAGCCGCAAGGCAUCUGUGAAGGUGCUGCAUGGUUGUCGUCAGCUCGUGCCGUGAGGUGUCGGCUUAAGUGCCAUAACGAGCGCAACCCUUGUUGUCAGUUACUAACAGGUUCCGCUGAGGACUCUGACAAGACUGCCAUCGUAAGAUGUGAGGAAGGUGGGGAUGACGUCAAAUCAGCACGGCCCUUACGUCCGGGGCUACACACGUGUUACAAUGGGGGGUACAGAGGGCCGCUACCACGCGAGUGGAUGCCAAUCCCAAAAACCUCUCUCAGUUCGGACUGGAGUCUGCAACCCGACUCCACGAAGCUGGAUUCGCUAGUAAUCGCGCAUCAGCCACGGCGCGGUGAAUACGUUCCCGGGCCUUGUACACACCGCCCGUCAAGCCAUGGGAGCCGGGGGUACCUGAAGUGCGUAACCGCGAGGAGCGCCCUAGGGUAAAACUGG